This 440-nucleotide ribosomal RNA is filed under the name uncultured Bacteroidota bacterium. RNAcentral describes it as "bacterial SSU rRNA". It matches the Rfam family "Bacterial small subunit ribosomal RNA", at positions 60 to 495 of the family's 1533-position model. The record is from RNAcentral. Lineage: Bacteria; Pseudomonadati; Bacteroidota.
AGUCGAGGGGUAACAGGAAGUGCUUGCACUUCGCUGACGACCGGCGCACGGGUGAGUAUCGCGUAUACAAUCUGCCUCAUACUAGGGAAUAGCCCGAAGAAAUUUGGAUUAAUGCCCUAUAGUAUCUUUUUAAGGCAUCUUAUUAAGAUUAAAGGCUACGGUAUGAGAUGAGUAUGCGUUCUAUUAGCUAGUAGGUGUGGUAACGGCACACCUAGGCUACGAUAGAUAGGGGCCCUGAGAGGGGGAUCCCCCACACUGGUACUGAGACACGGACCAGACUCCUACGGGAGGCAGCAGUAAGGAAUAUUGGUCAAUGGACGAAAGUCUGAACCAGCCAUGCCGCGUGCAGGAUGACUGCCCUAUGGGUUGUAAACUGCUUUUAUAUAGGAAGAAAAACUUUCUCGUGAGAAAGCUUGACGGUACUAUAAGAAUAAGGAUCG